Molecule: ribosomal RNA, 537 nt
Filed under: Fusarium culmorum
Lineage: Eukaryota; Fungi; Ascomycota; Sordariomycetes; Hypocreales; Nectriaceae
Description: eukaryotic LSU rRNA
Rfam family: 5.8S ribosomal RNA (bases 180-333)
Source: RNAcentral
CUCCGUUGGUGAACCAGCGGAGGGAUCAUUACCGAGUUUACAACUCCCAAACCCCUGUGAACAUACCUUAUGUUGCCUCGGCGGAUCAGCCCGCGCCCCGUAAAAAGGGACGGCCCGCCGCAGGAACCUUAAACUCUGUUUUUAGUGGAACUUCUGAGUAUAAAAAACAAAUAAAUCAAAACUUUCAACAACGGAUCUCUUGGUUCUGGCAUCGAUGAAGAACGCAGCAAAAUGCGAUAAGUAAUGUGAAUUGCAGAAUUCAGUGAAUCAUCGAAUCUUUGAACGCACAUUGCGCCCGCCAGUAUUCUGGCGGGCAUGCCUGUUCGAGCGUCAUUUCAACCCUCAAGCCCAGCUUGGUGUUGGGAGCUGCAGUCCUGCUGCACUCCCCAAAUACAUUGGCGGUCACGUCGAGCUUCCAUAGCGUAGUAAUUUACAUAUCGUUACUGGUAAUCGUCGCGGCCACGCCGUUAAACCCCAACUUCUGAAUGUUGACCUCGGAUCAGGUAGGAAUACCCGCUGAACUUAAGCAUAUCAAUA